Molecule: transfer RNA, 85 nt
Filed under: Candidatus Megaera polyxenophila
Lineage: Bacteria; Pseudomonadati; Pseudomonadota; Alphaproteobacteria; Rickettsiales; Rickettsiaceae
Also listed under: 3 other names
Description: tRNA-Leu
Rfam family: tRNA
About the family: Transfer RNA (tRNA) molecules are approximately 80 nucleotides in length. Their secondary structure includes four short double-helical elements and three loops (D, anti-codon, and T loops). Further hydrogen bonds mediate the characteristic L-shaped molecular structure. tRNAs have two regions of fundamental functional importance: the anti-codon, which is responsible for specific mRNA codon recognition, and the 3' end, to which the tRNAs corresponding amino acid is attached (by aminoacyl-tRNA synthetases). tRNAs cope with the degeneracy of the genetic code in two manners: having more than one tRNA (with a specific anti-codon) for a particular amino acid; and 'wobble' base-pairing, i.e. permitting non-standard base-pairing at the 3rd anti-codon position.
Source: RNAcentral
GCCCGCGUGAUGGAAUGGUAGACAUAAUAGACUUAAAAUCUGUGGAGCCUAGCUCGUGCCGGUUCAAGUCCGGCCGCGGGUACCA